UACGGAGGGAGCUAGCGUUAUUCGGAAUUACUGGGCGUAAAGCGCACGUAGGCGGCUUUGUAAGUUAGAGGUGAAAGCCUGGAGCUCAACUCCAGAAUUGCCUUUAAGACUGCAUCGCUUGAAUCCAGGAGAGGUGAGUGGAAUUCCGAGUGUAGAGGUGAAAUUCGUAGAUAUUCGGAAGAACACCAGUGGCGAAGGCGGCUCACUGGCCCGAUACUGACGCUGAGGUGCGAAAGCGUGGGGAGCAAACAGG
RNAcentral lists this ribosomal RNA (253 nucleotides) under uncultured bacterium. RNAcentral describes it as "partial 16S ribosomal RNA". It matches the Rfam family "Bacterial small subunit ribosomal RNA", at positions 524 to 776 of the family's 1533-position model. The record is from RNAcentral.